Molecule: transfer RNA, 168 nt
Filed under: Marmota monax (woodchuck)
Lineage: Eukaryota; Metazoa; Chordata; Mammalia; Rodentia; Sciuridae
Rfam family: tRNA
About the family: Transfer RNA (tRNA) molecules are approximately 80 nucleotides in length. Their secondary structure includes four short double-helical elements and three loops (D, anti-codon, and T loops).
Source: Rfam by way of RNAcentral
GGGGGUAUAGCUCAGUUGGUAGAGUACUUGCCUCACAUGCACAAGGCCCAGCAACACACACACACACACACACAAAAGAUUCCAUUAUUGCCUCUAUGACCUUGGAAAAAUCCCCAGAGUGCAUGCAUAGUAUGUGUAAGGCCAUGGGUUCCAUUCCCAUCACCACCA